CCUUCGAUAGCUCAGUUGGUAGAGCGGUGGACUGUAGAGAGUGUGCCUGACAUUGCAUGAUAGAGAAAUCCAUAGGUCGCUGGUUCAAAUCCGGCUCGAAGGA
RNAcentral lists this transfer RNA (103 nucleotides) under Anopheles stephensi (Asian malaria mosquito). RNAcentral describes it as "tRNA tRNA-Tyr". It matches the Rfam family "tRNA". Rfam says of the family: Transfer RNA (tRNA) molecules are approximately 80 nucleotides in length. Their secondary structure includes four short double-helical elements and three loops (D, anti-codon, and T loops). The record is from Rfam by way of RNAcentral. Lineage: Eukaryota; Metazoa; Arthropoda; Insecta; Diptera; Culicidae.